AUCAGUUAAUUUAAAUCAACCAAACUCAUAUGUUUUACCUUUGUGUAUCUUCUUUCUUACGUUCAUAUAUCAGGUAAACCAUGACACACUAUAUAUAUCAUCAUGCUUUGCUUCCCUUUGCAGUUACAUCAAUGUCUGUAAUCAUGUUUAUUCGAAACCUCAAAAGUAGGUUUUGCAUCGGAUUGUUACACCUGUCCUGUCCACGAGAUUGCAUCCAUCCAGAAGGGAAUGAAAAGAGCAUCAAGGCAUUUUUGGCAAAUUCUUGAUUUUGUUCUUGAGCGUGGCAUUUACCAAUCCAUUAUAUAUAUUUUCUGAAAUCGCAUAUGCAAUGCUGUAUUGCUGCUACUUGUUUGCGGCGAUGGUUAGGGUUCGACAUUGGAUCAAUCGUCAGUUAAUGUUUAUUAUUCUUUGGUUUGGUGUGUGUCAAGUAGGAAACUUUUUUUUUUCGAACGGUAUAAUCGUCUCUUCGGCAACUGGGCAAUGGGGAAGUAGUAGAUCCAUGUGAUUGCAAAUGAUACUGCAUUCCUUUCUCAGUACAUGAUUCAGGGGUUGGGUUGGUUGGGUCAGUGAAGAAAUCAGCAAAACUGCAGUCCACAAGAUACAGUGAAUUAUGCUUACAAGGUGUUUGUCUUAAUGGCUGCAAGUUGACACUUCACAGCAUGUCCUUUGCAUUUAUAACUAUAAAAGGUCGUGUUCUAUGCAUGCUAGCUCGUGCUCAUCACCAGUUGGUAGAUUUGUGCAGUUAUUUUCCCUGAUUAUUAUAUUAUCUCACUAUAUGAUGCAAAAAUUUAAAGCUCAUGUUAUCUCAUGAUGUGGUAUGCUCUUUAUACAAUCUCUCAGUAGUUCUCCAAAGUGCCUCACCAAUUUGUGAUCAACAUUUUUUCCCAAUAAAAUGCUAUGCUGACUAUCGCACUAUAUAUCUCAUUUUUGAAACACAAUAGUAUGAGUACUGCUUUUGAUUUUGUAUCGUAGUCAUUCACUCAACAUGUAUGUUGCCUUGUUGUAAAAACAGGGUAGUAUGAAUUAAAUACUGAAGCCCAGAAAUUCACUCCCAUAGUGCAACUGUAAAUUUGUAACUGAAUGAAUUGCAGUAAUUGCUUUGGUACUAAUAGGUAGUGUAAAUUGGUAUUGGUAACUGACUGAAACAAUACUCACUUCUCAUAUCCUGUCCAUGACAUCUACUGUUCAUGCUGGCUGUUUUUCUUUUCAUGUGCGGAUUCUAGUAUUCCACUCGGGUGUUUCCUGCAAUAAGCUGAUAUCUAACAAUUGCAAGGAUCUACACUCAUGUAUCAACUCAAGGUGACAAACAGCAGCCACCCAUCAUCUUGACUGAUUCGAUAUUGAAUUAUUGAUCUAUGGAAGAAUUUGUUGCUUUGGUCGGCUGAUAGAUAUAUUAAGAUGAAAUAUAUGCAGCUGCUUCAUCUGUUGAGAUGUCACAUGACUGUCUGAAUUUGUAGAGUAGGCAAGCUAGCUUGUCUUAAAGCUUUGAUAUUUCUUUAAUUAACAUGUGUAUGUUGAAACCUAAA
Molecule: long non-coding RNA, 1526 nt
Organism: Oryza sativa Japonica Group (Japanese rice)
Lineage: Eukaryota; Viridiplantae; Streptophyta; Magnoliopsida; Poales; Poaceae
Source: RefSeq, a predicted model, not a curated record